GACAAAGAGGCAUUACAGGAGCAGCAGAUGAGUAACCUGCUUCAGGUGUCCGCGCUGCAGUCCAGACUGGAUGAGGGCAAGUGCCCGGUGCCUCCCGACGGUGGUUGUCACGACCGCGCCGAAGCCCAGCUGGAGGUGGUGCAGGGGGCUCUCAGGCAACGCGAGGCUGAGGUGCGCGGGGCCACACAGGGCACUCCCUCGCUGUUUGUGUCUGCCGGGGCCUCCCUGCUUGUGUGCAGGAUGUCCACACGACACAGUUUGUGGGCUCGUCACUACUGUAUUCACUUUGUAAUUUUAACACUUGUGUGGAUUGUAGGAUAAUAAUAAGUUUUUCUGGUGUGUGCUUUAAAAUGUUUUAAGUGAUUUUAAUAAUUAUUAAGGUCAAUUAGAAUAUUAGAUAACUUUUAAUGCUUGCCUGCUUUGAUGCAAGGUUUUCGACUUAAAAGACCAAUUAGAAAAUCUUAAAGAUGACUUAGUAAAUAAAAAUGAAGAAAUACUGCAUCUGAACUGGAAAUUAGGCCUGCAGGACAACAGCACCGCUGCCAGCAUCAAAGAGCUUCAGGAGGAGAACGCCCGUCUGAAAACAUUUCUGCAAAAUAAAGAAAGGGAGAUGAUGCAUGUGCGUGAGUCGGCGGAAGCGCAGUUGGCCAGGACAGGAAGUGGUGCUGUCAGUGAGGUUGUGUGUAGUAGAAGUUCUGAAGUUGAAGAGCUGAAAUCCAUUAUUGAGACUCUGCGUGAGAACCAAGCGCGGCUGCAGAAGGAUAAUGCUGAGGAGAUUGAGCAGCUCCACGAGGUCAUCGAGAAGCUGCAGAGGGAGCUCCCACUCGGGGGGCCUGAGGCUCCCAAGGCUGGGGAAGGCGGGGCCAUGAGCCUGCAGAGUGAGCUGCUGGGCCUCCCAGCCGAGGGAGCCGAGGCCCCCGCAAUGUUGGCGGGUGAGCUGCAUGCUGCCCUGGAGGCCAAGGAGGCCCUGAGCCAGCGGCUGGCUGAGCAGGAGCGCCAGCACAGCCAGGCCCUCGAGGCCCUCCAGCAGCGCCUGCAAGCCGCGGAGGAGGCGGCCACACGGCAGUUGGCCGAGCUGGGGCCUGAGGGCCUAGCCUCCCAGAUCUUUGAGUUUGAAGCUGCUCUGCAUGCCAGGGAAGCAAAGAUCGCAGAGAGAGAUUUAGAAAUUGAAGCUCUGCGCCGGGAGAAGUCCACCCACUCCGCUGAGCUGGAGGCCAUCCUGGCAGCCGUGGCCCGCUUUCGCCAUGCCCUGGAGCAGCAGCUCCUGGUGGCCACUGGGGAGCCCCCUGAGCUACAGCGACUCCGAAAGCAGUGUGUCUGCCUCAGCCGCCAGCUGCAGGCACUCAACCAGCGGUUCCUGAAGUGCCAGAAGGAGCUGGAUGAGCGGCAGGCGCAUGGGGAGGGUGGCUCCCAGGGCUGGGUGCCUAGGGGCGAAGAGACCUCCUGCAGUGAGGAAUUGCAACAGGCUGUGGAUGGCAGGCAGCUGGCCCAGGCCCUUGACGGCCGUGGCAGUGACCCACAGGUGGGUUCGUUCUCCGCAGGCCACAACUUGUGCAGCCUGUGUGUGCAGAGAGCUGGCUGCACGUCAGAGGGUGGGAAGUGUCCGGGGAGCUGGGAGUGUGUGUGUUGGGUGCAGGUGGGGUGUUGGGGGCAGACAGUGCUGGGAGUGCAGGCGGGGAGCUGA
RNAcentral lists this long non-coding RNA (1684 nucleotides) under Capra hircus (goat). RNAcentral describes it as "lncRNA (ENSCHIG00000006833.1)". The record is from RNAcentral. Lineage: Eukaryota; Metazoa; Chordata; Mammalia; Artiodactyla; Bovidae.